GCCCGUCGCUACUACCGAUUGAAUGGCUCAGUGAGGCGUCCGGACUGGCCCAGAGAGGUGGGCAACUACCACUCNGGCCGGAAAGCUCUCCANACUCGGUCAUUUAGAGGAAGUAAAAGUCGUAACAAGGUCUCCGUUGGUGAACCAGCGGAGGGAUCAUUACCGAGUUUACAACUCCCAAACCCCCUGUGAACAUACCAAUUGUUGCCUCGGCGGAUCAGCCCGCUCCCGGUAAAACGGGACGGCCCGCCAGAGGACCCCUAAACUCUGUUUCUAUAUGUAACUUCUGAGUAAAACCAUAAAUAAAUCAAAACUUUCAACAACGGAUCUCUUGGUUCUGGCAUCGAUGAAGAACGCAGCAAAAUGCGAUAAGUAAUGUGAAUUGCAGAAUUCAGUGAAUCAUCGAAUCUUUGAACGCACAUUGCGCCCGCCAGUAUUCUGGCGGGCAUGCCUGUUCGAGCGUCAUUUCAACCCUCAAGCCCCCGGGUUUGGUGUUGGGGAUCGGCGAGCCCUUGCGGCAAGCCGGCCCCGAAAUCUAGUGGCGGUCUCGCUGCAGCUUCCAUUGCGUAGUAGUAAAACCCUCGCAACUGGUACGCGGCGCGGCCAAGCCGUUAAACCCCCAACUUCUGAAUGUUGACUCG
Molecule: ribosomal RNA, 641 nt
Filed under: Fusarium fujikuroi
Lineage: Eukaryota; Fungi; Ascomycota; Sordariomycetes; Hypocreales; Nectriaceae
Description: eukaryotic LSU rRNA
Rfam family: 5.8S ribosomal RNA (bases 312-465)
Source: RNAcentral